This 450-nucleotide ribosomal RNA is filed under the name uncultured Glomus. Its description in RNAcentral is "SSU rRNA". It matches the Rfam family "Eukaryotic small subunit ribosomal RNA", at positions 569 to 1025 of the family's 1831-position model. Lineage: Eukaryota; Fungi; Glomeromycota; Glomeromycetes; Glomerales; Glomeraceae. The record is from RNAcentral.
AGCAGCCGCGGUAAUUCCAGCUCCAAUAGCGUAUAUUAAAGUUGCUGCAGUUAAAAAGCUCGUAGUUGAAUUUCGGGACUAAUAUGUCGGUCGUGCCUCGGUACGUACUGGUUUAUUGGUUUCUCCUUUCUGAAGAACCAUGAUGUCAUUUAUUUGGUGUCGUGGGGAAUCAGGACUGUUACUUUGAGAAAAUUAGAGUGUUUAAAGCAGGCUCACGCUUGAAUACAUUAGCAUGGAAUAAUGAAAUAGGACGUUUGAUUCUAUUUUGUUGGUUUCUAGGAUCGACGUAAUGAUUAAUAGGGAUAGUUGGGGGCAUUAGUAUUCAAUUGUCAGAGGUGAAAUUCUUGGAUUUAUUGAAGACUAACUACUGCGAAAGCAUUUGCCAAGGAUGUUUUCAUUAAUCAAGAACGAAAGUUAGGGGAUCGAAGACGAUCAGAUACCGUCGUAGUC